RNAcentral lists this ribosomal RNA (720 nucleotides) under uncultured Tulasnella mycobiont of Riccardia palmata. RNAcentral's name for it is "eukaryotic LSU rRNA". It matches the Rfam family "Eukaryotic large subunit ribosomal RNA", at positions 356 to 1144 of the family's 3401-position model. Lineage: Eukaryota; Fungi; Basidiomycota; Agaricomycetes; Cantharellales; Tulasnellaceae. The record is from RNAcentral.
AGGGAAAGGUGAAAAGCAACCAUGCAGAAUGGGUUGAAACAGCAGUGAAAGCGCUACCGGGAUAAGGGCUGGGGAUUGCUUGUGUCGCUUGCGCGUGCUUCAGUGCUGUGCUCGCGGACGGCAUGCAUCGAUUAGGAUGGGGAGAACAGGGCCAUCGGGAAUUCGGCUGGAUCCGUCCAGUGUUGUAGCCCGGAGGUCAAUGGAGCCUCUUCUGACCGUUGAGUGUCUUGCGAUUGUCAGCCGCCCGUCUUGAAACACGGACCAAGGAGUGCACCUUGCAUGCGAGUCGAAGGGACUGUAAUCCCAAAGGCGAAGCGAAAGCGAAGGCUGCGAACCCUCACGGCGUCGGCAGCACCCGCCUUGUGCGAGGUAGAGCAUGUAGGGUGCGACCCGAAAGAUGGUGAACUAUGCCCGGGUAAGGUGAAGCCAGUGGAAACGCUGGUGGAGGCCUGUAGCGGUUCUGACGUGCAGAUCGAUCGUGUAACCUGGGUAUAGGGGCGAAAGACCUAUCGAACCGUCUAAUGGCUGGUUCCCCCCGAAGUUUCCCUCAGGAUAGCUGUGUCCCUAUUGUCAGUUGCACGCGGUAAAGCGAAUGAUUAGGUGUCUCGGGGACGUUAUUGUCCUCGGCUCAUUCUCAAACUGUGAAUUGUGUGCGCACCGCGCGUGACCUAACGGCACGCCGGGCGAAUGACAGGACGCAAGUGGGCUGGUUUUGGUAAG